CACACACACACACACAAACAGUGAUUCAAAUACUUCCUACCUCUUUAUGAAACGACUGAUUGAUUGAAUGUUCUGUGCAGACACCAGCAAAAGACUAAACAGAAUACUAAAGAGAGAAAACAGGAUGAAGAACUAGACAAACUGACUGCGUGCAUAUAGGAUACAUUUGAAACAAAACCAUGAACUUGUUUACUGAAUUAGAAAGAUCCGGGCAUAGUUGUGUCUGAGAACCAUCAGAGACUCCAGGACCGAGAGAGAGAACUGAAAGACAUGAAGAAAGACUCAGACACACUCACUGUAAUUAUAUUCUAUUGGUUUUAUGAGUUACGUCUUAUGGCUCUGGAACAAGAUGGGUGCAUAAAUAAUGACCUUUUUUUGGAGGGUGAAGUCAGAAUAUUUGUGUGUGUGUACAGGUCCUCAGAAAUGGUGUGGGACGAGGCGGAUGUGGUCCUGUCGGAGCUCCAGGAGUCAACUGGAUGUCACUGCCAAAAAUCUACAUUUUAUUACAUUUAGAGCAAAAUUGUUUUUAUUUUAAUUUAUUUUUUUCCUAUUUGCUUCUGGGGUGAAAUAUGAUUCAGAUGUAUCCUGACAGCUGUUUUUUUUUUUUUUUUUUUUUUUUUCAGUUUUGUGUGUUUUAUUAAUAUCAAAGUAGUCAUGGACAGAGAAAAUCAGACCUCUCAUAGACGUCAAAGCACACAGAGCAGAAGCACACGUGAUGAAGAACAAGAGGACUGCUGGAGCUUGAGUAAAGACUAAUGAGAGAGGACAGAGAACAAG
This is a long non-coding RNA of Carassius auratus (goldfish), 777 nucleotides long. RefSeq lists it as uncharacterized. The transcript has 3 exons. The record is from RefSeq and is a predicted model, not a curated record. Lineage: Eukaryota; Metazoa; Chordata; Actinopteri; Cypriniformes; Cyprinidae.